GACGAACGCUGGCGGCGCGCUUAACACAUGCAAGUCGAACGGAAAGGCCUGCUUUCCCUUGUGGAUUGCGGGUACUCGAGUGGCGAACGGGUGAGUAACACGUGAGUGAUCUGCCCCCAACUUGGGUAUAAGCCUGGGAAACUGGGUCUAAUUCCCGAUAGGACUGCAGGGUGGUGCCUGUGGUGGAAAACGAUUUUCUAGUGGUUGGGGAUGAGCUCGCGGCCUAUCAGCUUGUUGGUGGGGUAAUGGCCUACCAAGGCGGCGACGGGUAGCCGGCCUGGGAGGGUGGACGGCCACAUUGGGACUGAGAUACGGCCCAGACUCCUACGGGAGGCGGCAGUGGGGAAUAUUGCACAAUGGGCGGAAGCCUGAUGCAGCGACGCCGCGUGGGGGAUGACGGCCUUCGGGUUGUAAACUCCUUUCGACCGCGAGGAAGCCACCUGGUUGGAAGGGUGGUGACGGUAGUGGUAGAAGAAGCACCGGCUAACUACGUG
RNAcentral lists this ribosomal RNA (494 nucleotides) under uncultured bacterium. RNAcentral's name for it is "partial 16S ribosomal RNA". It matches the Rfam family "Bacterial small subunit ribosomal RNA", at positions 28 to 507 of the family's 1533-position model. The record is from RNAcentral.